Molecule: long non-coding RNA, 869 nt
Organism: Harmonia axyridis
Lineage: Eukaryota; Metazoa; Arthropoda; Insecta; Coleoptera; Coccinellidae
Exons: 3
Source: RefSeq, a predicted model, not a curated record
AGGUAUCUAGUAGAUAUUUCAAAUAACAGAUACAUUUUUUGUAAUCAAACACAUGAUACAACAGAGAGUUUCGGAGAAUAAUCAGUUAAUCGUUCAAUUUAAUCCUUAAGAAUUCUCAAAAAUAUUAUAUAAAGCAGAAUGAUUGAACCAGAAGACGAAUUAGAUCAGGAUAUUCCAAUGAGAGAAAUGAUUUCGAAACUUCAGGCGAUUCCAGAACCCAGAUUCGCUAUGCCAUUCCAAAACCUAAUAGAACCGACGAGGCCAGAUCGCUUCACUCCUGCGGAUGUACCAGCCUACAGUGAAGAAUUUCUUUUUGUUUUCGAUGUGAUAUAUAUGUGUGUAGGUCUGUUUAUGACGACAAUUUUUACAGAAUGUAUAAAUCUUUUCUUUCGUAUCAGUUUCAUUUCAAUAUAUUUUUUCUCGAAACUCGAAUCCGUAACAUUAUGUUGGAAUGCACUAAAAAUUAGUUUUUUAGCUGUAGUUAUUGUACUUUUUUAUUAUUUGAUCAAAAUAGCAUUAAUUCUCUUCUGCUUAACCCAUUAUGGAUAUAUCUUGUGGGUAUAUAAAGUAUAUAUUGAUAGAAUAAGGCAUAUGCGAGGGCAUACUCUAAGAUAUUUUCGAAGGCAUAAUUAGUCCCAUUGUAAAAUCAAUAUUGAAUACUACUGUUUUUAAACUCAUUUACGACUCGUACUCUUUCAUCAACACAUAGUGUAUGACUUGAGAAGGUAUAAUAUCAUGAAAGAAUGUGCUUACAUUAUGAGGAUGAUAGUUCUCGAAUGUUGCGAGAAUAUUUCCUAUAGAAACAUCGUAUUUUUUCAUAAUAUUAGUUAUUGAACUGUGAGAACUUUUAUAAUAAAUAUUGAAAGAAU